GUGCUUGCAUAAGCAGCGUGCAUACUAAAAUUGGAACGAUGCGGUGGAUUAGCAUGGCCUCUGAACAAGGCUGACAUAUGAGUAUUUGAAACAUAUUUUUUUCUU
Small nuclear RNA from Arvicanthis niloticus (Nile rat), 105 nucleotides. The record is from RefSeq and is a predicted model, not a curated record. NCBI's taxonomy places the organism in Eukaryota, Metazoa, Chordata, Mammalia, Rodentia, Muridae.